This 449-nucleotide ribosomal RNA is filed under the name uncultured bacterium. RNAcentral describes it as "partial 16S ribosomal RNA". It matches the Rfam family "Bacterial small subunit ribosomal RNA", at positions 30 to 523 of the family's 1533-position model. The record is from RNAcentral.
AUUGAACGCUGGCGGCAUGCCUUACACAUGCAAGUCGAACGAACUCUUCGGAGUUAGUGGCGGACGGGUGAGUAACACGUGGGAACGUGCCUUUAGGUUCGGAAUAACUCAGGGAAACUUGUGCUAAUACCGAAUGUGCCCUUCGGGGGAAAGAUUUAUCGCCUUUAGAGCGGCCCGCGUCUGAUUAGCUAGUUGGUGAGGUAAAGGCUCACCAAGGCGACGAUCAGUAGCUGGUCUGAGAGGAUGAUCAGCCACAUUGGGACUGAGACACGGCCCAAACUCCUACGGGAGGCAGCAGUGGGGAAUCUUGCGCAAUGGGCGAAAGCCUGACGCAGCCAUGCCGCGUGAAUGAUGAAGGUCUUAGGAUUGUAAAAUUCUUUCACCGGGGACGAUAAUGACGGUACCCGGAGAAGAAGCCCCGGCUAACUUCGUGCCAGCAGCCGCCGCCG